RNAcentral lists this transfer RNA (72 nucleotides) under Fukomys damarensis (Damara mole-rat). It matches the Rfam family "tRNA". Rfam says of the family: Transfer RNA (tRNA) molecules are approximately 80 nucleotides in length. Their secondary structure includes four short double-helical elements and three loops (D, anti-codon, and T loops). Further hydrogen bonds mediate the characteristic L-shaped molecular structure. tRNAs have two regions of fundamental functional importance: the anti-codon, which is responsible for specific mRNA codon recognition, and the 3' end, to which the tRNAs corresponding amino acid is attached (by aminoacyl-tRNA synthetases). tRNAs cope with the degeneracy of the genetic code in two manners: having more than one tRNA (with a specific anti-codon) for a particular amino acid; and 'wobble' base-pairing, i.e. permitting non-standard base-pairing at the 3rd anti-codon position. Lineage: Eukaryota; Metazoa; Chordata; Mammalia; Rodentia; Bathyergidae. The record is from Rfam by way of RNAcentral.
UUAGGUAUAGCUCGUUGGUAGAGCACUUGACUAAGUUGUACAAGGCCCUGGGUUCAAUCCCCAGUACCACAA